This 70-nucleotide transfer RNA is filed under the name Microgale fotsifotsy (pale shrew tenrec). RNAcentral describes it as "tRNA-His". It matches the Rfam family "tRNA". Rfam says of the family: Transfer RNA (tRNA) molecules are approximately 80 nucleotides in length. The record is from RNAcentral. Lineage: Eukaryota; Metazoa; Chordata; Mammalia; Afrosoricida; Tenrecidae.
GUAAGUUUAGUUUAACAAAAACGUUAGAUUGUGGAUCUAAAAAUAGAAAAGUUAUAAUUUCUAACCUACC